GGGCCAUAAAACUUUUUUUUGAUCUUCGCGCUGCUAAUUGUUCGGCUUCUCUUUUAGGAUUGGCUGCCGUUCCUAUCCAUAAUAUAAUUAAAACAAACGAGGGAAAGGGUCCCCCCCUUCCAGCACCGACAGAGGUUAAUGCAAGUAUUUAACAAUGCUUUGCUUUCUGUGGGUAUUCACACGCUCCCUGCCUGAAAUAAGUUUCCCUUCGACUUAAGCAGCUCAACAGAAACCCUUUUUGAUCCAAUGGCUAGCCAAGCCUUGCCUGAAGCUUGGGGUGCUUACAAACUGAGUGCAAAAGUCACCUGAAAGAAGCCCCAGACAUUGCUGGCUGGAUCUUUCCUGUGGGCCUGGAGAGAGGGAGCCUUGGAGAGAGCCCAGCUGAUUAUUUGGGCGGGCUGCCCUUCUCCGAGCUGGAAGUCAAAGCGCAUCAAGGUGACCCUGCUUCUCUGCGUCCUGGAUGUCGGAGUGCUGCUCCCUAUCAGAGACUUCUGUGUGCAAGGUGCUGUGCAUUUGAAAGUGAAAUCCUUCUGCCUUGGCAGUCCCUGCUACCUGCAAAUAUAGGGUUAGGCUUAUAUGUUUUACUUUCUAACUUCCCUUAAUCCAUUUUUAUUUUGUUUUAGUCUUUUAAGAAAGGAAUUGAAGUUGGGGGAGAUACUUUAGUUUCCCUUUAACAUUGCAAGAUUAUAUUAUAUUACAAAUAACAUGCACAGAAACACACACAAUGUAUAUGAAAGGGACAUUGGGUUGUAGGGGAAAUGCAGUGUUUUGUAGCUUUUUAUUUUUUGGUUUCUUUUACAAUUCCAAAGAAUGGAAACUUAAAGACUAAUAAAAUGACACAGGUCAAAGAAGCAUGCCACUUUUUUGUAUUUUCUGACAAAUCAACUCUCAUCAGCUUGCUUCAGUCACCUCUGAUUUUUAAGGUAGGGAUUGACAAAUGUGUUUUGAUACAAUUAUUUCAAAGUCUUACAGCAAACAAACAAAAAAUGUGUGUGUGGGGGGGAUGUACAGGAAAGCAGAAAUAUAUUGUACCAUAACAAUAUUGUUCAGUGCAGCUUUAGCUCUCCAAGAUGCAAACCAAGUCCCAUUUGCACCCAAAAAACCUUGUGCAAAGCGGUCUUAUCCAUGCCUAUUCAGAAACAAAUUCAUUCCUUCAUUCCUUCAUUCCUUCAUACUCUGCCCUUCCACCAGGAAAAUAGACCCAAGGCGACAAUUUCUGCGCCCCCUUUCUCCCACACAUGCCUCCUCACCCCUCCCACUUCCAAGCAGCUCACAGAUAUAAUAAAAUGAGAGUGACAUGUGCAAUAGGAUUUAUGCAGCCACUGCAGCAUAAUAUCCAUCUGAUAGUUCUGGUUCGCAGUGAGAAUAAAAGUUUGUGUUUGGAGGUAUAACUGGUCAAACAGAAAAGAGGUUCAGGCACCCGGUCUCCUAAUGCAGCCACUGGCUGGUGGCUGUUUUCCCCUCUCACACUCAAAUGGAGUUGUCCCUCAUGUUUUUGCACCUGGUUUGUCCUUAGAGAAUCGUUUGGCCAAUGAGCCGGUGAAAGAGCACUCCAGUUUAUAAACCGAAUCUCCCUGGCACCUAAGAUGGCAGUUCUGAGCAAGCCCAUUAUAGCCACUGGGACCGGAAUCCGAGAGUAUAUGGAGGUGAGCCUCAAGUGCAGUAUGCUGGUCGACCCCUCAUCCAGAAGAGGCUGAAUUGACAGCACUUGAGAAAUAAGAUCAGUCAUUCAGGGAACUAUUCUGGGUAUGAAUGCUAAAAUCAACAGAAAUCAGUGAAGCUUGCAUCGAAUCUCAAUCCUAAGAAUAUUUAUUCAGAUAUAACUUCUGGUUUCACA
This is a long non-coding RNA of Varanus komodoensis (Komodo dragon), 1837 nucleotides long. RefSeq lists it as uncharacterized. The record is from RefSeq and is a predicted model, not a curated record. Lineage: Eukaryota; Metazoa; Chordata; Lepidosauria; Squamata; Varanidae. The transcript has 4 exons.